GGGUUGGGGGUUAUUUGAUUUUUAAUUUUUUUGUGACUAAAAUAAGAAUAUUAAUGUUUUAUUAUUUUUUUGAAAUAAUUGAUUUUAUAAUAGUGAAUUAGUACCGUGAGGGGGCCUCUUUAUCUUUUUUAAAGAAGAUUUUAUUUUUUGUACCUUGUGUAUCAGGGAUUAUUCAUUUAUAUUUAUAUAUUUUAAUAUUCCCGAAUUCAGAAGAGCUAAUUAGUUAUGGAUUUUAUCGUGGAAUAGAUAUUUUAAAUGAUUAAUUUGAAGUUAAACGUUAUUCGUUUCUGAAUAUAUCUGGUUUUUUUAGAAACAGAUUUAAUCUGCUCCAUUUUUUGCAAUAUUUCUAUUUUUAGAUCGUAUUGUGUUAAUGGGGCCAUAUUCUUGGGGAUGAGCUCGAGGAUAAACACCUAUAAACUUAUUAUUAUUCAAAUUAAAUAGGAUUAGAAGUUUCCAUUUUUUAGAAAAUGUUAUAAUUUAUUUUGUUGAAAAAUAGGAUUAGAAGUUUCCAUUUUUUAGAAAAUGUUAUAAUUUAUUUUGUUGAAAUUUUUAUUUUUAUAAUUAUUUAGGUUUAAUAUAAAAUUAUUUUCUUUAAUAUGUUAAGUUAAGUAAUAAUGAUAAUAUUAGUAUAUUUGUUGGUAUAAAUCAAUUCUUUUUCUAGAUUAAUAAAAGGAACUCGGCAAAUUAUUUUUCACCUGUUUAUUAAAAACAUGUCCUUUUGAUUAUAAUUUAAGGUCUGUCCUGCCCGCUGAAUUUUUGAAUGGCCGCGGUAUUCUGACCGUGCAAAGGUAGCAUAAUAAUUAGUUUUUUAAUUGAAAGCUGGAAUGAAUGGUCGGAUGAAAUUAUGACUGUCUCUUAUUAAUUAUGUAGAAAUUUAUUUUUAGGUAAAAAGGCCUAAAUUUUAUUAAAAGACGAGAAGACCCUAUAGAGUUUUAUAAUGUUUGAGGUUAAUUUUUUUUAGUAUUUUAAUUUUUAAUUUUAUUUCUUAUUUAGUUGGGGUGACUGUAAGAUUAAAUAAACUCUUUUUUUUAUUUUUCACGGAUAGGUGAUUAGCUGAUCCUCUUAUUGCGAUUAUAAGAUAAAAUUACCUUAGGGAUAACAGCGUUAUUUUUCUUGAGAGUUCAAAUCGAAAGGGAAGUUUGCGACCUCGAUGUUGGAUUAAAGUUAAUUUUUGGUGCAGAAGCUGAGAAUUUUGGUCUGUUCGACCAUUGAAACUUUACAUGAUCUGAGUUUAGACCGGCGUGAGCCAGGUUGGUUUCUAUCUUUAACACAUAUAAAUACUUUAGUACGAAAGGACCAAGUAUUGAAUAUAUUAUUUUUUUGUUGAAUUUUACU
Molecule: ribosomal RNA, 1335 nt
Filed under: Olethrius laevipennis
Lineage: Eukaryota; Metazoa; Arthropoda; Insecta; Coleoptera; Cerambycidae
Description: large subunit ribosomal RNA
Rfam family: Archaeal large subunit ribosomal RNA (bases 905-1268)
Source: RNAcentral